Strigops habroptila (Kakapo) is the source of this 309-nucleotide long non-coding RNA. RefSeq lists it as uncharacterized. NCBI's taxonomy places the organism in Eukaryota, Metazoa, Chordata, Aves, Psittaciformes, Psittacidae. The record is from RefSeq and is a predicted model, not a curated record. The transcript has 2 exons.
AGCCACCCCGCCGCCCGUUUCUGGAGCUGGAGAAGCUUCGGCCAUUUCCUCCACCUCCUCCUCCUCCUCCUCGCUGUGAUUCUACUAACUCAGAUACAGAUCCCAGUCCGUCCAGCUCGACCUGUGCGUCCAGAGCGAUGGAUAUAGGACUCCACAUCCUUCAAAAUAAAUAGCCUUAUGACUUAUCUAAUUUACUGUAGUUAAAUCAAUUAAUUGCAUUCACAUAACUUUGUAAAAGCUAUUACAGGUAAGCCUGAACAAUACACAAUUACUGCAUCAGAGAAUGAAAUCAAAAAACAUUGUUUCACU